Molecule: ribosomal RNA, 478 nt
Filed under: uncultured bacterium
Lineage: Bacteria
Description: partial 16S ribosomal RNA
Rfam family: Bacterial small subunit ribosomal RNA
Source: RNAcentral
GACGAACGCUGGCGGCGUGCUUAACACAUGCAAGUCGAACGGAAAGGCCCUUCGGGGUACACGAGUGGCGAACGGGUGAGUAACACGUGGGUGAUCUGCCCUGCACUUCGGGAUAAGCCUGGGAAACUGGGUCUAAUACCGGAUAGGACCACUGCCUGCAUGGGUGGUGGUGGAAAGCUUUUGCGGUGUGGGAUGGGCCCGCGGCCUAUCAGCUUGUUGGUGGGGUGAUGGCCUACCAAGGCGACGACGGGUAGCCGGCCUGAGAGGGAGAGCGGUCACACUGGGACUGUGAGACGGCGCAGACCCCUAGGGUAGGCAGCAGUGGGGGAUAUUGCACACUGGCCGCAAGCCUGAUGCAACGACGAAGCGUGAGGGAUGUCGGCUUUCGGGUUGUAAAAAUCUUUCAGAACCGACAAAGCGAAAGUGACGGUAGGUGCAGAAGAAGGACCGGCCAAUUACGUGCCAGCCGCCGCGGUAA